AAAGGGUGCGUAGGCGGGUUGCUAAGUCUGGUUUUAAAGGUAGCUGCUUAACAGUUACAUGUGGCUGGAUACUGGUGAUCUUGAAAUUGUUGGAGGCAGCCGGAACGGGUCGUGUAGCGGUGAAAUGCAUAGAGAUGACCCAGAACACCAAUUGCGUAGGCAGGCUGCUACGACUGAUUUGACGCUGAGGCACGAGAGCAUGGGGAGCAAACAGGAUUAGAUACCCUAGU
Molecule: ribosomal RNA, 230 nt
Filed under: uncultured bacterium
Lineage: Bacteria
Description: partial 16S ribosomal RNA
Rfam family: Bacterial small subunit ribosomal RNA
Source: RNAcentral